UCCCUUGUAGCUUAGUCGGUGAAGAAUCUGCCUGCAGUGCAGGAGACCCAGGUUCAGUUCCUGGGUUGGGAG
This 72-nucleotide transfer RNA is filed under the name Ovis aries (sheep). It matches the Rfam family "tRNA". From Rfam's summary of the family: Transfer RNA (tRNA) molecules are approximately 80 nucleotides in length. Their secondary structure includes four short double-helical elements and three loops (D, anti-codon, and T loops). The record is from Rfam by way of RNAcentral. Lineage: Eukaryota; Metazoa; Chordata; Mammalia; Artiodactyla; Bovidae.